CAUCGGCAACACGAAAUUUGCCGCUGUCCGGCUCUACUGGCUUGUCCCCCGCCACUGCCGGACACAGGGACAAAGGCCUCAUCCCCCCUCUCCGGGCCUUUGUCCGAUUUAUAGGAAGCCGUCGCGACACCGCCCCCCGUCGCGGCGGCUUUUC
Molecule: small RNA, 154 nt
Filed under: Rhizobium sp. EC-SD404
Lineage: Bacteria; Pseudomonadati; Pseudomonadota; Alphaproteobacteria; Hyphomicrobiales; Rhizobiaceae
Description: ar7
Rfam family: Alphaproteobacterial sRNA ar7
Source: RNAcentral